This is a non-coding RNA of Tetranychus urticae (two-spotted spider mite), 636 nucleotides long. The record is from RefSeq and is a predicted model, not a curated record. NCBI's taxonomy places the organism in Eukaryota, Metazoa, Arthropoda, Arachnida, Trombidiformes, Tetranychidae.
UUGAUGACUAUUCUGGAAUUCGAAAUCCAAGUCGAAUUGAAUUCAGUGGUUAUGAUCCAUACUCAACUGUACAAAGUUACCAAGAGAAUCUAAUUCUUGAUAUUUACGUUCAAAAUGAGGACUAUUACGAUGAACUUGCGACUGAAGUUAGUCCUUUACCUGGAAUUGGAUGCCCACAUUACUUAUCCGCAGGCUUGCCUUCAUUGCCGCUAUUGAAAACUAAUUAUGCACAUUUCACAAUGGUCGAGUCCAUUCAAGGUUCAACUAAUUCUCGAACACUCAACGAGAUUCAUGCAUCAGGAAAUAACAACUUAUUAAGAUUGAAAUCAAAUGUUCUGGGUGUAAAAACUGAAGCUAUUUAUGAUUAUCAACUUGGAGUUAUUACCUCCUGCAAGAGGGUGACUCCUGUAAAAUGGCACCUACAGAUUUGCAUUCACCUGGAAUCAGUUCUUAUCGUAACUUCAAUUUGGCAAGUCUUUUUCUUAUUGAUUCCUUAAUGAAUGCUUUCAAAUAUCUUGGAAAGUACAACUUGGAACACUCAUCUGGAUUUGCUGUAGAUGCAUGGGAAUCAAUCAGAGCUAAUGUUAAUAUUAAUGGGAAAAUGGUCGACAGAGCGGUCAUUACUCAAUAUUUUGC